AACGAACGCUGGCGGCAGGCCUAACACAUGCAAGUCGAGCGGUCCCUUUGGGGGCAGCGGCGGACGGGUGAGUAACGCGUGGGAACCUGGCCUUGGGUGCGGGAUAACGUCGGGAAACUGGCGCUAAUACCGCAUAAUGUCUACUGACCAAAGAUUUAUCGCCCAAGGAUGGGCCCGCGUUGGAUUAGCUAGAUGGUGGGGUAACGGCCUACCAUGGCGACGAUCCAUAGCUGGUUUGAGAGGAUGAUCAGCCACACUGGGACUGAGACACGGCCCAGACUCCUACGGGAGGCAGCAGUGAGGAAUAUUGCGCAAUGGGGGAAACCCUGACGCAGCGACGCCGCGUGGAUGAUGAAGGCCUGGUCGUAAAUACCUAGUCAGAUGGAA
RNAcentral lists this ribosomal RNA (387 nucleotides) under uncultured bacterium. RNAcentral describes it as "bacterial SSU rRNA". It matches the Rfam family "Bacterial small subunit ribosomal RNA", at positions 29 to 446 of the family's 1533-position model. The record is from RNAcentral.